Molecule: ribosomal RNA, 425 nt
Filed under: uncultured bacterium
Lineage: Bacteria
Description: partial 16S ribosomal RNA
Rfam family: Bacterial small subunit ribosomal RNA
Source: RNAcentral
GUGGGGAAUCUUGCGCAAUGGGCGAAAGCCUGACGCAGCCAUGCCGCGUGAAUGAUGAAGGUCUUAGGAUUGUAAAAUUCUUUCACCGGGGACGAUAAUGACGGUACCCGGAGAAGAAGCUCCGGCUAACUUCGUGCCAGCAGCCGCGGUAAUACGAAGGGGGCUAGCGUUGCUCGGAAUUACUGGGCGUAAAGGGCGCGUAGGCGGACAGCUUAGUCAGAGGUGAAAGCCCAGGGCUCAACCUUGGAAUUGCCUUUGAUACUGGCUGUCUUGGGGUUGGGAGAGGUGAGGGGAACUCCGAGUGUAGAGGUGAAAUUCGUAGAUAUUCGGAAGAACACCAGUGGCGAAGGCGACUCACUGGCCCAAUACUGACGCUGAGGCGCGAAAGCGUGGGGAGCAAACAGGAUUAGAAACCCGAGUAGUCC